AACGAACGCUGGCGGCAGGCUUAACACAUGCAAGUCGAACGCCCCGCAAGGGGAGUGGCGCACGGGUGAGGAACACGUGGGGAUCUGCCCUUCAGUUCGGAACAACACCGGGAAACUGGUGCUAAUACCGGAUAUACCUUUUGGUCUUGGCGACCGAUUGGGAAAGAUUUAUCGCUGAAGGAUGAACCCGCGUCUGAUUAGCUAGUUGGUGAGGUAACGGCUCACCGAGGCGACGAUCAGUAGCUGGUCUGAGAGGACGAUUAGCCACACUGGAACUGAGACACGGUCCAGACUCCUACGGGAGGCAGCAGUGGGGAAUAUUGGACAAUGGGCGAAAGCCUGAUCCAGCCAUGCCGCGUGAGUGAUGAAGGCCUUCGGGUUGUAAAGCUCUUUUAGAUGGGAAGAUAAUGACGGUACCAUCAGAAUAAGCCCCGGCUAACUUCGUGCCAGCAGCCGCCGCUGU
RNAcentral lists this ribosomal RNA (463 nucleotides) under uncultured bacterium. RNAcentral describes it as "partial 16S ribosomal RNA". It matches the Rfam family "Bacterial small subunit ribosomal RNA", at positions 29 to 524 of the family's 1533-position model. The record is from RNAcentral.